GGCAGUUUUAGAGAGCUAUAUGGAUCAAACCAUUGUUGAAUUGAAACCAUUAAAAACCGGAAUUGGAAUUGCCUUUGAGCUGGAUCAAAACUGGGUAGGAACUGGAACCACUGUCCGAUUGUGAUUCACUCCCUCCCCAGGAUUUGAAGUGCUGGUUUUAGCUUGGAAUCGGCUUGGACCAAACCGAUGGCCAGUCCUUCCAAGGUGCCUAGGAUACAUGUUCACUUCCAUCGCUAGAUGUGUUGGUUUCGGAUUAGAGCUGUUAGCUAAACUGACAUAAAUCAAGUAUUGGAAGCCAAAUUUGAAUCCUUGGAAUUAAGAUUUGGAUAUGUAAAGGACUAGAGGAAAAAAAAAAUGCUUUUGAAAUUUAGUGGGUGCAUUUGAAUGUUAUGAACCCUUUCUAGUGUAUAUUUUAAUUUCAUUAGGUGGUCUCUACAAAUAUAGUGCAAAAUGUAAUAUUUUUCAAGUCCAUUAGGAGUGUCAAGUUUAGAGUGAGAAAAAACCUCAGAAAUAUUUUUCAAGUCCAUUAGGACCGUCAAGUUGAGAGUGAGUUAAAAAACUGCUCAUCUAGGUUAGAUCUCUGCUCGUUUGGAGUUUAUUUCCUGGCCUUUUCGUGGCUCUUUCUUGCCCCUUUGGGCUGGAGGCUCCUCCGUUCGGUCGGCUGUGGGUUUUAUCCUCCCCACCGUCAGUUGUGAUGUACAUAAUCUCUUUUAUUAGAGUGGUGCAUGUUGUCUGAGUAAAUAGCAGAAUUUUUGUGCUAAAAUGGUGAGGAUUGAGGCUGCUUCCUAAUUUAAUCUUCUGUGGAUUGCUUCUUUGGGUUGUUUCUGUGUUUCACUGCUUCCAUUUGGCCAGAGGGUAAGGGUUGCUGUUUCUGUUUGACGGUGUUGGUGAGAAGGUUGGGUGCGAAUGUGAUGCCGAUGAUCAGUCAUUGUUGCCUUCCAUCCUCACCAGUGCUAUAGGCGACUUUUCUUCAAACCACCAUCCGGUCUUCUUAGUUCUAUGGCUUUUGUUCAUAUCUUGGUUUAGUCCCUUCUGUCUUGCAACUUUGUUAAGGUUGAAAUGGUGCUUUCUUGUCUUGCAUGCUGAUAGUUGUCUGGAAGCCCUGUGAUUUGGGUGGUUGAGCAGCGGCAAUGGUGUUUGCUGGUCGGAUCCUAUAUGGAUUGGAGAACCGGGCUCUCUGAGAGGCCUUGGCCCUUUGUUUCUUGGGCUUACUUACAGAUUAGAGUAGGUUUGCUUUUUUGGUUCAUGGACCUUGUAAAACAAGCUUCAAGCCUUGUAAAUGGGCUUUAGCCCCUUUUCUAAUUCAAUGCUAUAUUUUAUCUUUUGAUUAAAA
RNAcentral lists this unclassified non-coding RNA (1333 nucleotides) under Hevea brasiliensis (rubber tree). Lineage: Eukaryota; Viridiplantae; Streptophyta; Magnoliopsida; Malpighiales; Euphorbiaceae. The record is from RNAcentral.